CCUACGGGAGGCAGCAGUGAGGAAUAUUGGUCAAUGGGCUUACGCCUGAACCAGCCAAGUCGCGUGUGGGAAGACGGUCCUCUGGAUUGUAAACCACUGUCCCCAGGGACGAAGAUGACGGUACCUGGGGAGGAAGCUCCGGCUAACUACGUGCCAGCAGCCGCGGUAAUACGUAGGGAGCGAGCGUUGUCCGGAAUUACUGGGUGUAAAGGGAGCGUAGGCGGGACUGCAAGUUGGGUGUCAAAUCUACCGGCUCAACCGGUAGCCGCACUCAAAACUGCAGUUCUUGAGUGAAGUAGAGGCAGGCGGAAUUCCUAGUGUAGCGGUGAAAUGCGUAGAUAUUAGGAGGAACACCAGUGGCGAAGGCGGCCUGCUGGGCUUUUACUGACGCUGAGGCUCGAAAGUGUGGGGAGCAAACAGGAUUAGAUACCCGAGUAGUC
This 440-nucleotide ribosomal RNA is filed under the name uncultured bacterium. RNAcentral's name for it is "partial 16S ribosomal RNA". It matches the Rfam family "Bacterial small subunit ribosomal RNA", at positions 338 to 795 of the family's 1533-position model. The record is from RNAcentral.